UUGUGCUAUUGGAAUACCGAGGUUGAGAGAAGCUUUUUCAUGUGGAAUAGAUAGCACUGUUUUUCCAUGCACGGGAGUUUCACCAAGAACUGUAUUACUCAGUGGUAAUUGAUAAUACAAUCGAUACAAUGAUACAAUCGAUAAGGCUUUGACCAAAAUUAUGAUAGACUGACCAUGAAGACGUCGUCCUAAGGAGAAUGUAAAAGUAUCUUUAAAAUAUGCCGGCGUCACUCUGGUCAAAAUCCUCUGUGAACCUUUACGUAUAUGCACAUACACUAUAUAAGCCCUCUCCUCAACGAAAACUUCAAGUGCGCAGAACGUUGGUAUCCCUCCUCGACGCCCAUUAAGUCUUCUGAGAGACUUUGGAAAAGUGUCAAGUCGCCCCGGUACAACUCAAGUAUAAAGAUGGUACGGGUGAGUCAGGAGGAGGACUUGAGGAAGAGCAGACGACAAGAAGAAUAAGAAAGAAUGGGGAUAAAUAAAAAAAAAAUAAUAGGUUAGAAUGCCCACCGUGCUUAUCAACCAGGACGAUCCACACUGCGAUUACCUUGUUUACCAGGUCUGGUUAGAUUCUACAGACUCGUAUCCAAGACAUCAAGCUAGCCAACUCGUACCGACAAAUUCCUGACACGGAAACCUACUCUCGGUGCUGGAUUCAAUUAGUCGACGCUCGCAAUUUAUUGGAAAACCAUUUAGCCGACCUGGUGUAUGCUCCGCUCGCGAUCGCCGCAUUCCUCAUAACGCCGAUCACGUUACAAAGGACCCUUCGAAACUACACUUUAUAUCUUCUUCUCCGUCAUUGCUGGAAGUGGAUAUGUAAGUCAGCCUUAAAAGGGACAGUCAGGAUUUGAAACGGGAGUAACAAAAGGUGACGAGAGGGCGAACAGAAGGUGAAAGGAUGUGGAAGACGCAAGCAAGGAAGGGAUAGAGUAGAUGUUAAAAAACAGAAUGGAAAAGUGUUGGGUGGAAGGAGAGGGAUUCUGAUAGGUUUCAUGAACGAAGAGAGAGGGAGAGAGACAGAGAGUGACGGAGCAGGAGAGACUAACACAGUGGAAGAGAGAAAUGGGCGAGAAGUUCCGCGCGUCAAGGCAAUCCACUCGAUCACUCUCUUGGGGACAGAGGAUCCCCGACGUCGCGGCACACACGCAUACGAGCGUCGCUAUUCGUCGCGACGGUUUCUGUCCGCAUAAACACAGACCGUUAUCCCUGCAGAGCCAGAGUCCCAGGUUUUUCUCAUUGUAGAUCCAGGACGGUUGAAACUCUUCAGGAUCACCAGGACGUCCAACCGGCUUCUACCUCACCGCUGGAACACGAAGCUGUACUUAGGAAUUGUUGGUUAUCGACGUAUCGAUCCUGAGAAACCUGUACUAGGACUUCGGCCGAAGCAUUUAUAUACUGGAUUUCUUAUGGUCGCCAAUGAAAUUUGAGAAUCUUACGAUGAACGUCUGUACCACCGGGUAUAUACGAUGGCUGAAAGAGAAAGGAAGGGGAAUCUUCUGUUUUUCCUCCUGGGAUAAACUCCAAGGCUUCUUCCUACUAGGCUCCAAGGUAAAACUCAGCUUCCCGGUUCGUCGGCGACGUCCGAAGACUAAUUCCGAUUCGCAGUUGGCCUUCGUUGGGAAUUCGCGGAUGGCGAACGGCCGGUUGGCUCGUGUGCGCCGACUUAGCGGCAUGUUAUUCGGCUCCGGGAACUCGUUCUGGGAAGUUGGCCAACAUCGGCUCCUCUCUACGCCUGCUAGCCUAGACUCACGAUCCACAGUCUGACCUAUGUUGUCCGCCACCACUUUCGGCUCUUGUCUCUUUGCUUCUCUUUACUUUGUUUCGUCCUCCUUGGCCACAACUUUAUCUACCGGGUGACCCGCGAAACAAGCAGUGCGUACACGAAACGAAAGAGAGAAAAACCGAAUAGUCCAUAUCUAUGCAAGAGACAAUUAAUCGACGAAAACUUCUCGGAACACCCGUUACGUUGCUGGGUUUGUCGGAUUUCGUGUAUCGGGAGUACGAGUAACGUGGGCGUCGCGGCGCAGCUUUGGCGCCCUUCUCAUCUAUUAACGUCCGUUCUCAGUCCUUUCUGCGUUACGACGUGACGCCCCGUAACGACACGCUGCCCCGAAUGCUCUCCGAAACGUCUUUUUCUCACGUGAGAAACAGUUGACUGAAGUAGAAAAUAUUCCGACUGUCAAAGGUCAAAGGACAAAUCCUGAUUCAUAUCCAAGAGAUCAGAAUGCACGACUGGACACUCUUAAAGAUUCAGACUUUUAAAGGAUAGUUAAACAAGUGACUAGCCUUAUAUACCAACAUUUUCAUCUGAAAUAUCAUUCGACUCAUCGUCAUACCUGAAGCAGCCAACUAUAAUGCUCCAGGAUCUUUCUCAGCAUUCCUCUGGUUCGUUCAACCCUUAAGGAGAGCAACUCCUACGGAAGAGGUUGAGAAUUUCAAAGUAAUGUGUACCAGGAACAAAUGACACCCGGUAUGUUAUCCGCCUAUACCGUAGAAGCCAGCCACCGAGACAACGUCAAGUGCCGAGAGUGUGACAUCGGCAUCCUCUCACGUUGCGAGAGAUGGAUGAGAUGUGGAGAGGGAAGGUGAGAGAAGGG
This is a long non-coding RNA of Cephus cinctus (wheat stem sawfly), 2597 nucleotides long. RefSeq lists it as uncharacterized. Lineage: Eukaryota; Metazoa; Arthropoda; Insecta; Hymenoptera; Cephidae. The record is from RefSeq and is a predicted model, not a curated record. The transcript is spliced from 9 exons.